Molecule: transfer RNA, 68 nt
Filed under: Rattus norvegicus (Norway rat)
Lineage: Eukaryota; Metazoa; Chordata; Mammalia; Rodentia; Muridae
Rfam family: tRNA
About the family: Transfer RNA (tRNA) molecules are approximately 80 nucleotides in length.
Source: Rfam by way of RNAcentral
GGGGAUUUAGCUCAGUGGUAGAGCUCUUGCCUAGCAAGCACAAGGCCCUGGGUUCAGUCCCAGCUCCG